GUGCUGGCUUCCACAGCAUAUAUAGUAAAAUUGGAACAUACACAGAUUAACAUGGCCCCUGUGCAAGGAUGACAUGCAAAUUCAUUAAGUACUCCAUAUUAUU
Molecule: small nuclear RNA, 103 nt
Organism: Cavia porcellus (domestic guinea pig)
Lineage: Eukaryota; Metazoa; Chordata; Mammalia; Rodentia; Caviidae
Source: Ensembl